RNAcentral lists this non-coding RNA (102 nucleotides) under Turicibacter sanguinis. Its description in RNAcentral is "Guanine sequence". It matches the Rfam family "Purine riboswitch aptamer". Rfam says of the family: Riboswitches are metabolite binding domains within certain messenger RNAs that serve as precision sensors for their corresponding targets. The record is from RNAcentral. RNAcentral also lists the same sequence under 1 other name. Lineage: Bacteria; Bacillati; Bacillota; Erysipelotrichia; Erysipelotrichales; Turicibacteraceae.
AGUAAAUUGAAUCUUUUCUCUCGUAUAUCAUCGGAAAUAUGGUCCGAAAGUCUCUACCUACUCACCGUAAAUGAGUAGACUACGGGUUUUAUCAGUUAUUAA